This 253-nucleotide ribosomal RNA is filed under the name uncultured bacterium. RNAcentral describes it as "partial 16S ribosomal RNA". It matches the Rfam family "Bacterial small subunit ribosomal RNA", at positions 524 to 776 of the family's 1533-position model. The record is from RNAcentral.
UACGUAGGGUGCAAGCGUUACUCGGAAUUACUGGGCGUAAAGCGUGCGCAGGCGGUUUUGUAAGUCUGUCGUGAAAUCCCCGGGCUCAACCUGGGAAUUGCGAUGGAGACUGCAAGGCUAGAAUCUGGCAGAGGGGGGUAGAAUUCCACGUGUAGCAGUGAAAUGCGUAGAGAUGUGGAGGAACACCGAUGGCGAAGGCAGCCCCGUGGGUCAAGAUUGACGCUCAUGCACGAAAGCGUGGGGAGCAAACAGG